RNAcentral lists this ribosomal RNA (522 nucleotides) under Pseudomonas sp. 10623. RNAcentral describes it as "bacterial SSU rRNA". It matches the Rfam family "Bacterial small subunit ribosomal RNA", at positions 1 to 522 of the family's 1533-position model. The record is from RNAcentral. Lineage: Bacteria; Pseudomonadati; Pseudomonadota; Gammaproteobacteria; Pseudomonadales; Pseudomonadaceae.
UGGAGAGUUUGAUCCUGGCUCAGAAUGAACGCUGGCGGCAGGCCUAACACAUGCAAGUCGAGCGGUAGAGAGAAGCUUGCUUCUCUUGAGAGCGGCGGACGGGUGAGUAAUGCCUAGGAAUCUGCCUGGUAGUGGGGGAUAACGUCCGGAAACGGACGCUAAUACCGCAUACGUCCUACGGGAGAAAGCAGGGGACCUUCGGGCCUUGCGCUAUCAGAUGAGCCUAGGUCGGAUUAGCUAGUUGGUGAGGUAAUGGCUCACCAAGGCGACGAUCCGUAACUGGUCUGAGAGGAUGAUCAGUCACACUGGAACUGAGACACGGUCCAGACUCCUACGGGAGGCAGCAGUGGGGAAUAUUGGACAAUGGGCGAAAGCCUGAUCCAKCCAUGCCGCGUGUGUGAAGAAGGUCUUCGGAUUGUAAAGCACUUUAAGUUGGGAGGAAGGGCAUUAACCUAAUACGUUAGUGUUUUGACGUUACCGACAGAAUAAGCACCGGCUAACUCUGUGCCAGCAGCCGCGGUA